Molecule: ribosomal RNA, 554 nt
Filed under: uncultured bacterium
Lineage: Bacteria
Description: partial 16S ribosomal RNA
Rfam family: Bacterial small subunit ribosomal RNA
Source: RNAcentral
UAGGGAAUCUUCCACAAUGGACGCAAGUCUGAUGGAGCAACGCCGCGUGAGUGAAGAAGGUUUUCGGACCGUAAAGCUCUGUUGUUGGUGAAGAAGGAUAGAGGUAGUAACUGGCCUUUAUUUGACGGUAAUCAACCAGAAAGUCACGGCUAACUACGUGCCAGCAGCCGCGGUAGUACGUAGGUGGCAAGCGUUGUCCGGAUUUAUUGGGCGUAAAGCGAGCGCAGGCGGAAGAAUAAGUCUGAUGUGAAAGCCCUCGGCUUAACCGAGGAAUUGCAUCGGAAACUGUUUUCUUGAGUGCAGAAGAGGAGAGUAGAACUCCAUGUGUAGCGGUGGAAUGCGUAGAUAUAUGGAAGAAUACCAGUGGCGAAGGCGGCUCUCUGGUCUGCAACUGACGCUGAGGCUCGAAAGCAUGGGUAGCGAACAGGAUUAGAUACCCUGGUAGUCCAUGCCGUAAACGAUGAGUGCUAAGUGUUGGGAGGCUUCCGCCUCUCAGUGCUGCAGCUAACGCAUUAAGCACUCCGCCUGGGGGAGUACGACCGCAAGGUUGAAAC